Long non-coding RNA from Oncorhynchus nerka (sockeye salmon), 3412 nucleotides. RefSeq lists it as uncharacterized. The record is from RefSeq and is a predicted model, not a curated record. NCBI's taxonomy places the organism in Eukaryota, Metazoa, Chordata, Actinopteri, Salmoniformes, Salmonidae. The transcript is spliced from 4 exons.
AUUUAACAGAACAUAACAAACAAUAUACAAUCACAAAUAGAGCAAGUGACGUACGUGAAAAAAAGUUUAUAUAAAAGUGGACAUGGGCAUUUUGACAAGUGCAGACAUGGGUCAGACAGGCAAUUCCCAUUGGGGAAAAUUGCAUUCCAUCUGAACAGAAGCUGUUCAGGGUCAGGGACAUUGUGGUCUCUCCACCAACUGGCUUUAUCCCAGUUUCAGUAACGAGGUUAUGGCCAUUGUGUAUGCAGCCCUGACACCGUAUUGUAGAGCACCCAUAGGGCUCUGGUCAAAAGGAGUGCACUACACAGGGAAUAGAUUGCCAGGUUUUUGUUAUUAUAAGGAUUACAAUGAUAUUUGCAUCUAUUGAGACUAUGGAGACAAUUCAACUAUUUUAUCAAACUGAUAAAAAAGCAACAAAACCUAAGAAGAAAAAAAACACUCAAGCAAUCUUUGAUUUCGUCAUUGUCUCUGGCUUUGUCUGUUUCAAUCAAAGGCAGUAGCUCUUUUGGUGGUUUCGUUUCCAGGGUUAACAGAAGUGAGAGAGAGGCAGGUCACAUAGGCCUACAACCUACACACCUCUGUGGGCGCAGCUUCCUGCAAUACCUGUCCGAAACACACCAGCUCAGAAGCAACUGUUGUUUCUCCUAUGAGAGUACAAAACCUUACCAACACCAAACCAUCACACUAUGCAUGCUACCACGUAUGACAAAGCUUUUUGUUGGGUUUAAGGAGGCUUAGAGGCAAUUUUUUAUUUAAAAAAAAUCAUGUUUUAAAAAUAAAUAAAUUAAUAAUCGUGUUUUAAAGUAUGACACUAAAGGUUUGCAAAUGGUAAACCUAAGUUGAGCUGAUAACACUUUUUUUAUUUAAAUAAAAGUGGUCUACAUCUGAAAGGAAGUGGAACUUUCAUGGAACUAGAGGUUUUACCAGUGAACAUGAAACUGUCCAUUGCCAGACUGUAACUUGUGACCUGUAAUUCUGCUUGUAAUAGCACACAGAGAAUGACAUCUCUUUGGUUUAUUUUGAUGAUUUUGUUCAUCGUCAAGCUACGGCAGUCUGUGGAGGAGUCUGUGUUUCGAAAGGUCCAGCUUGGAGAUACUGCUAUUUUCCCCUGUGAUAUCUCUUACCAUUACGAGAUAACCUGUAAUCUUUGGUCACCAACACAAUCUUCGUUUCGAGGCACAGAUUGCCAACAGGUCAUUGGCAUUGAAAAUCAAGACUGUUGAGGAUGCAGACCUUGGAUUGUAUUACUGAAUGGGAAAGGUUGGAAAAAUGAUGAUGCUUGGGGGAGAAAGCAGAAUUCAUGGUAAGAGGAGAUUUUUGAUAAUCAAAAACAUAUGUGUAUUUCUCACAAAAUACCAUGCUCCUCAAUUUAGAAUAUGCCAUUUUAGUUGUUAAAUCUGUCACAAAAUGUUAUUCUCACAUCUAAAACGUUCUGCCUCAGAGACUUUAUGUUCAGUCACUCCAACUGUGACCUUAACAAACCUAUUUAUCAUCACUGGUGGUACACCUAAUCAUCAACCGAUCUCAUUAGUAAUUUAUGUCACUAUUGUUCAGUGUCUGGCCUAGAAACUAUAAAUGAAUAUUUUACCACUUGUGUACAAGGUAACAUAAAUAUAUAUACUAAAUUAUAUUACAGCUUAAAUACUAUGUCAUACUGCAUUUAACACAAACAAAAAUGAGCCAUGCAAUUUUCCUAAUGUAGCAUAAUUUCAGCAGGUAAAGCUAACCUCGCCUCCCUCCUCCUAUACUUCUCCUUUUAGCUUUGCCUGCAAUGUCUAUUGGUACUAACGGUCUCUCCUUAUUUCAUCUGCAUGAAGUUUUUAAGUUUUAAGUUCCUCGGCAUACACAUCACGGACAAACUGAAAUGGUCCACCCACACAGACAGUGUGGUGAAGAAGGCGCAACAGCACCUAAAAAUUUGGCUUGGCACCUAAAACCCUCACAACCUUAACAGAUGCGCAAUUGAGAGCAUCCUGCCGGGCUGUAUCACCGCCUGGUAUGGAAACUGCACCGCCCUCAAACGCAAGGCUCUCCAGAGGGUGGUGCGGUCUGCACAACGCAUCACUGGGGGCAAACUACCUGCCCUCCAGGACACCUGCAGCACCUGAUGUCACAUGAAGGCCAAAAAGAUCAUCAAGGACAACAACCACCCGAGCCACUGCCUGUUCACCCUGCUAUCAUCCAGAAGUCGAGUUGGACUGGGUCUGGUGGGGAUGAUACUGGCAGUUUGCAUCACUCAUCACAAGAACAAGAAAGGGAACACGACAACCUUAACGGAAGGCCAUAAAGAUCAUCAAGGACAUCAACCACCCAAACCACUGCCUGUUCACCCCGCUAUCAUCCAGAAGGCGAGGUCAGUACAGGUGCAUCAAAGCUGGGACCGAGAGACUGAAAAACAGCUUCUAUCUCAAGGCCAUCAGACUGUUAAACAGCAAUCACUAACAUUGAGCGGCUGCUGCCAACACACUGUCAUUGACACUGACCCAACUCCAGCCACUUUAAAAAUGGGAAUUGAUGGGAAAUGAUGUAAAUAUAUCACUAGCCACUUUAAACAAUGCUACCUUAUAUAAUGUUACUUACCCUACACUAUUCAUCUCAUAUGCAUAUGUAUAUACUGUACUCUAGAUCAUCGACUGCAUUCUUAUGUCACUAGCCACUUUAACUAUGCCACUUUGUUUACUUUGUCUACAUACUCAUCUCAUAUGUAUAUACUGUACUCGAUACCAUCUACUGUAUGCUGCUCUGUACCAUCACUCAUUCAUAUAUCCUUAUGUACAUAUUCCUUAUCCCCUUACACUGUGUAUAAGACAGUAGUUUUGGAAUUGUUAGUUAGAUUACUUGUUGGUUAUCACUGCAUUGUCGGAACUAGAAGCACAAGCAUUUCGCUACACUCGCAUUAACAUCUGCUAACCAUGUGUAUGUGACAAAUAAAAUUUGAUUUGAUUGAUGAUUUGAUUUGACUAAAUUCCUUUUUGCCCCACUGUAUGCUGAUUAUUUAUCUGAAGACAAUCGUGUUAUGGUCAAGAGCUCACGAAUUUGGGUCAAGUUUAUCAGGAAGGAAACCACCCAUCUUUGCUUUUCUGCUUUAUUAAAAGCUGAGGUCUGGAACUCCCUCCAGGUCAUCUCUCUCUCCAUUCCUUGGCCUUGGUUGCCUGGUUUUUAAGCACUACAUUAAUUCAUUGUGGAGAACAAACAUCCGUUUGGCCAGAGCGAUGUGGAUGGGUAGCCUUGGUACAUAAAUAUUUUUGCAGGACAACUCCUGGGAACCAUGUACAUAUGUGAGGCCGUUUCAGCACCAGAUGACACAAGAGGGUUGCAGGUCUGCAGUCAUUCAUUUUAAUUAGAGAAAUAUCCUAUAAACCGAACUGUUUUAAAUGUCAAUGUACUUUAUUGCACACAAUCCUCAAAUAAA